Molecule: ribosomal RNA, 275 nt
Filed under: uncultured fungus
Lineage: Eukaryota; Fungi
Description: partial 18S ribosomal RNA
Rfam family: Eukaryotic small subunit ribosomal RNA
Source: RNAcentral
UUAUACAGUGAAACUGCGAAUGGCUCAUUAAAUCAGUUAUAGUUUAUUUGAUAGUACCUUUCUACUCGGAUAUCCGUGGUAAUUCUAGAGCUAAUACGUGCUAAAAACCCCGACUGUUUGGGAGGGGUGUAUUUAUUARAUAAAAAAUCAAUGCCCUCGGGCUCUUUGAUGAUUCAUAAUAACUUCUCGAAUCGCAUGGCUUCGUGCUGGCGAUGGUUCAUUCAAAUUUCUGCCCUAUCAACUUUCGAUGGUAGGAUAGUGGCCUACCAUGGUGG